RNAcentral lists this ribosomal RNA (440 nucleotides) under uncultured bacterium. RNAcentral describes it as "bacterial SSU rRNA". It matches the Rfam family "Bacterial small subunit ribosomal RNA", at positions 100 to 518 of the family's 1533-position model. The record is from RNAcentral.
CACGGGUGAGUAACGCGUAGAUAACCUGUCUUCAUGGUCUGGAAUAAUACGCCGAAAGGGGUACUAAUACCGGAUAUUCUUGCUUUUCAUAAGUUAUGCAAGCAAAGGUGGCCUCUGCAUAUGCUACUGCAUGAAGAGGGGUCUGCGUACCAUUAGCUAGUAGGUGGGGUAAUGGCCUACCUAGGCGACGGAUGGUUAGCGGGUCUGAGAGGAUGAUCCGCCACACUGGCACUGGAACACGGGCCAGACUCCUACGGGAGGCAGCAGUGAGGAAUAUUGCGCAAUGGGGGAAACCCUGACGCAGCGACGCCGCGUGAGUGAAGGAAGGCCUUCGGGUCGUAAAGCUCUGUCAAGAGGAAAGAAGUGUACAAUGGCUAAUACCUGUUGUAUUUGACGGUACCUCUAAAGGAAGCACCGGCUAACUCCGUGCCAGCCGCUGC